AGCAGCCGCGGUAAUUCCAGCUCCAAUAGCGUAUAUUAAAGUUGUUGCAGUUAAAAAGCUCGUAGUUGAAUUUCGGGAUCAAUUAAUUGGUCGUGCCUCUGGUACGUACUGAUUUUAUUGGUUUCUCCCUUCUGACGAACCAUGAUGUCAUUAAUUUGGUGUCGUGGAGAAUCAGGACUGUUACUUUGAAAAAAUUAGAGUGUUUAAAGCAAGCUAACGCUUGAAUACAUUAGCAUGGAAUAAUGAAAUAGGACGUUUGAUCCUAUUUUGUUGGUUUCUAGGAUCGACGUAAUGAUUAAUAGGGAUAGUUGGGGGCAUUAGUAUUCAAUUAUCAGAGGUGAAAUUCUUGGAUUUAUUGAAGACUAACUACUGCGAAAGCAUUUGCCAAGGAUGUUUUCAUUAAUCAAGAACGAAAGUUAGGGGAUCGAAGACGAUCAGAUACCGUCGUAGUCUUAACCAUAAACUAUGCCGACUAGGGAUCGGGAUGAUGUUAAUUUUUUAAUGACUCA
RNAcentral lists this ribosomal RNA (509 nucleotides) under uncultured Glomeraceae. RNAcentral describes it as "SSU rRNA". It matches the Rfam family "Eukaryotic small subunit ribosomal RNA", at positions 569 to 1082 of the family's 1831-position model. Lineage: Eukaryota; Fungi; Glomeromycota; Glomeromycetes; Glomerales; Glomeraceae. The record is from RNAcentral.